GUCUUUGGCCAUACCACCCUGAACACACCAAAUCUCAUCUGAUCUCGAAAGCUAAGCAGGGUUGGGCCUGGUUAGUACUUGGAUGGAAGAGAGAUCUUCAGAACAGACUGCUCAGAGAAAAGCAGUACAGAGACA
This 135-nucleotide ribosomal RNA is filed under the name Castor canadensis (American beaver). The record is from RNAcentral. Lineage: Eukaryota; Metazoa; Chordata; Mammalia; Rodentia; Castoridae.